GACGAACGCUGGCGGCGCGCCUAAUACAUGCAAGUCGAACGAGCUCGGACUUCGGUCCAUAUGAGCGAGUGGCGAACGGGUGAGUAACACGUGAGAAACCUGCCUCGGAGACCGGGACAACCGUUGGAAACGACGGCUAAUACCGGAUGUCCCCUUCUGGUCGCAUGACCGGAUGGGGAAACGAUCCGUCGCUCCGGGAGGGUCUCGCGGCCUAUCAGCUUGUUGGUGAGGUAACGGCUCACCAAGGCAUCGACGGGUAGCUGGUCUGAGAGGACGAUCAGCCACACUGGGACUGAGACACGGCCCAGACUCCUACGGGAGGCAGCAGUAGGGAAUCUUGCACAAUGGGCGAAAGCCUGAUGCAGCGACGCCGCGUGGGGGAUGAAUGCCUUCGGGUUGUAAACCCCUUUCAGUAGGGACGAAAAUGACGGUACCUACAGAAGAAGGUCCGGCCAACUACG
Molecule: ribosomal RNA, 461 nt
Filed under: uncultured Acidimicrobiales bacterium
Lineage: Bacteria; Bacillati; Actinomycetota; Acidimicrobiia; Acidimicrobiales
Description: bacterial SSU rRNA
Rfam family: Bacterial small subunit ribosomal RNA
Source: RNAcentral